GGGCGAUUAGCUCAAUGGUAGAGCGCUUCGUUUACACCGAAGAGGUUGUAGGUUCGAUCCCUACAUCGCCCA
Molecule: transfer RNA, 72 nt
Filed under: Patescibacteria group bacterium
Lineage: Bacteria
Description: tRNA-Val
Rfam family: tRNA
About the family: Transfer RNA (tRNA) molecules are approximately 80 nucleotides in length. Their secondary structure includes four short double-helical elements and three loops (D, anti-codon, and T loops). Further hydrogen bonds mediate the characteristic L-shaped molecular structure. tRNAs have two regions of fundamental functional importance: the anti-codon, which is responsible for specific mRNA codon recognition, and the 3' end, to which the tRNAs corresponding amino acid is attached (by aminoacyl-tRNA synthetases). tRNAs cope with the degeneracy of the genetic code in two manners: having more than one tRNA (with a specific anti-codon) for a particular amino acid; and 'wobble' base-pairing, i.e. permitting non-standard base-pairing at the 3rd anti-codon position.
Source: RNAcentral